AGUGAACGCUGGCGGCAGGCCUAACACAUGCAAGUCGAACAGCAGCACAGGAGAGCUUGCUCUCUGGGUGGCGAGUGGCGGACGGGUGAGGAAUAUAUCGGAAUCUACCCUUUCGUGGGGGAUAACGUAGGGAAACUUACGCUAAUACCGCAUACGAACUGAGGUUGAAAGCGGCGGACCGCAAGGCGUCGCGCGGAUGGAUGAGCCGAUAUCCGAUUAGCUAGUUGGCGGGGUAAAGGCCCACCAAGGCGACGAUCGGUAGCUGGUCUGAGAGGAUGAUCAGCCACACUGGAACUGAGACACGGUCCAGACUCCUACGGGAGGCAGCAGUGGGGAAUAUUGGACAAUGGGCGCAAGCCUGAUCCAGCUAUGCCGCGUGUGUGAAGAAGGCCUUCGGGUUGUAAAGCACUUUUGUUGGGAAAGAAAAGCGGUCGGUUAAUACCCGGUCGUUCUGACGGUACCCAAAGAAUAAGCACCGGCUAACUUCGUGCCAGCAGCCGCAGUAA
RNAcentral lists this ribosomal RNA (506 nucleotides) under uncultured bacterium. RNAcentral's name for it is "partial 16S ribosomal RNA". It matches the Rfam family "Bacterial small subunit ribosomal RNA", at positions 29 to 523 of the family's 1533-position model. The record is from RNAcentral.